Molecule: long non-coding RNA, 5876 nt
Filed under: Malus domestica (apple)
Lineage: Eukaryota; Viridiplantae; Streptophyta; Magnoliopsida; Rosales; Rosaceae
Description: long non-coding RNA (MDOM_LNC014545)
Source: RNAcentral
GGACAGAGGUUCAGGGCCGAAGGGGUAGAGGAAGACCUAGGAAAACUUUGGAAGAGACUCUAAGAAAAGACUUAGAGUACUUGGAUCUAACGAAGGACAUGACACAGGAUCGAGCACAAUGGCGUUCUAAGAUUCAUAUAGCCGAUCCCACUCAGUGACUUGGAUUUUCCAAGUCUCCAACCGAGAAGUUUUCCUCACUCGGGAAAUUAAGGGAACACUACCCCAACCUACAUGCUCCACUCAGAAAGCUUCAACAUACAAGCUUCAACAAAAGAAAAUUCAAAGAACUUAGCGAAGAAGGCUUUGGUGUAUUUAACACAAUACGUUGAAAUGAAGGAAAGCUUAUUUAUUGAUAUCCCCGAUAAGCUACAAAUAUGUACAUAUACAUGAGUCAAAAUAAACACACAAGAGGGAGCCUUCACAAAGGUUGCUUAGGAGAAGUCUCAGCAGUCGGUAGAGCCCCAGAAAGAGAAGGCACCGGAGGGGGAUCAUUUGGAGCCUCAGUACUGGACAGAACCCUAGAAGGAGGAGGCAUCAGAGGUUGAUCAUUUGGAGCUUCAUUACGCGGUACAGCCCCAGAAGACGAAGGCAAUAAAUGCCUUUGGAACAAACCCACAAAUCUCUGAUGAUCAAGUAAAACCUGACCAUCAGUUUCCUUCAUCUGGUCAAGCUUCCUCUUCAUGUUUGUAGCAUAGUCAUGUGCGAGCCGGUGCAACUGUUUAUUCUCAUGCUUGAGCCCUCUAAUCUCCUGUUUGAGACUCAUCACUUCAGCCGCCAAUGAUUCAACUUGGCGGGUUCGAGCAAAUAGGCGUUGGGCCAUAUUAGACACAGAACCUGCACACUGAACACUGAGAGCCAGCGAAUCCUUAACAGCUAACUCAUCAGACCGUUUGGAAAGUAGUCUGUUAUCUUUGGGAGUGAGAAGGUUCCUGGCCACCACCGCAGCGGUCAUAUCAUUCUUCAUCACGGAAUCCCCAACGGUAAGAGGACCAGUAGGGGAGACGAAGGAUGGGCGCCAUAUGUUGUCUGGAGAAGGCGGGGCUGCCUCUUCAACAAGGUUCAAGUCAAAACGACGGUCGGAGGGGCCAGACAUUUUCAAAGGUGUUGAAGAGAGAAGAGGUCGGACAAAUCAAGAUCUUAGAAGUGCAAGAAUGAAGCUUCUACUGGUGGAGAUUCAAGUGUGCUUUGGAACUUAAUGCCAGCCCCUAUAAAAAUCUGCACUCGACGGAGCUUCAGAAAUCGAAGAGGGCGCCUGCUCAGAAAUCGAAGAGGCGUUUGCUUUCUCAAAAGCUGGGCUGCUUAGAGAUCACGAGGGUUGAUCUCAGAAAUCGAAGAGCGUUUGCUUUCUCAAAAGUUGGGCUGCUCAAAGACCACGAAGGCCGAUCUCAGAAAUCGAAGAGGCGCUCGCUUUCUCAAAAGCUGGGCUCCCCAGAGACCACGAGGGCCGAUCUCAGAAAUCGAAGAGGCACCUACUUUUCCAGCCUUGUCAGCACCUGUCACACACGCACACUCAGCUUUGCGGAAAUUAUGGGCAUUCUGUCAAAGACUUCUGGGGAAGUAGAAAACACAUGAAUCUUACUGUUCAAUCACCCACUUCCCACACGCAACAAUAGCUCAUGGGUACCACAGAUAACUUUGCCAAAGUUCUCUGCCAAAGUUGAGCACGUGAAGCUUGCAGCUCCCACUACAUCGCUCUGACCAAGAAGGGUAAAAGAAUAGCAAAGAAACAGCACUAACAAAGUUUAGACCCAUAAAUUUUGAAGGUCUAGCUACCAUAUUAUUACCCACAAGGGUAAAGGAACAGUACCACUGCUGGAUAAUUGGAAAGUCCCUGUGUGUCAACCUCUGUGCUUCGUGGCAAGGUAGACUAGCAAACAUGCCCAACCUUUACUCACAUUCGAGAAAACACUCCCAAUAAGAUUGCUUGCUCCAAAAUCGAAGAGGCACCGUCCUCCGAAUCUCGAGAGCCAGACUCCCAACAUGACUACUUUCUUAAAAAUCGAAGAGAGGGUAAAGGAACAGUACCAUUGCUGGAUAAUUGGAAAGUCCCUGUGUGUCAACCUCUGUGCUUCGUGGCAAGGUAGACUAGCAAACAUGCCCAACCUUUACUCACAUUCGAGAAAACACUCCCAACAAGAUUGCUUGCUCCAAAAUCGAAGAGGCACCGCCCUCCGAAUCUCGAGAGCCAGACUCUCCCAACAUGAUUACUUUCUCAAAAAUCGAAGAGACACUGCUCCCCGAAUCUCGAGAGCCAGACCCCCAGCAUGAUUGCUUUCUCAAAAAUCGAUGAGGCAUCGUUCUCCGAAUCAAUCGAAGAGGCGCUCGCUUUCUCAAAAGCUGGGCUGCUCAGAGACCACGAGGGCCGAUCUCAGAAAUCGAAGAGGCACCUACUUUUCUAGCCUGUCAGCACCUGUCACACGCACACUCAGCUUUGCAGAAAUUAUGGGCAUUCUGUCGAAGACUUCUGGUGAAGUAGAAAGCACAUGAAUCUUUACUGUUCAAUCACCCACUUCCCACACGCAACAAUAGCUCAUGGGUACCACAGAUAACUUUGCCAAAGUUCUCUGCCAAAGUUGAGCACGUGAAGCUUGCAGCUCCCACUACAUCGCUCUGACCAAGAAAGGUAAAAGAAUAGCAAAGAAACAGCACUAACAAAGUUUAGACACAUAAAUUUUGAAGGUCUAGCUACCAUAUUAUUACCCACAAGGGUAAAGGAACAGUACCACUGCUGGAUAAUUGGAAAGUCCCUGUGUGUCAACCUCUGUGCUUCGUGGCAAGGUAGACUAGCAAACAUGCCCAACCUUUACUCACAUUCGAGAAAACACUCCCAACAAAGAUUGCUUGCUCCAAAAUCGAAGAGGCACCGUCCUCCGAAUCUCGAGAGCCAGACUCCCAACAUGACUACUUUCUCAAAAUCGAAGAGAGGGUAAAGGAACAGUACCAUUGCUGGAUAAUUGGAAAGUCCCUGUGUGUCAACCUUUGUGCUUCGUGGCAAGGUAGACUAGCAAACAUGCCCAACCUUUACUCACAUUCGAGACAACACUCCCAACAAGAUUGCUUGCUCCAAAAUCGAAGAGGCACCGCCCUCCGAAUCUCGAGAGCCAGACUCCCAACAUGAUUACUUCCUCAAAAAUCGAAGAGACACUGCUCUCCGAAUCUCGAGAGUCAGACCCCCAACAUGAUUGCUUUCUCAAAAAUCGAAGAGGCAUCGUUCUCCCGAAUCUCGAGAGCCAGAUACCACAGACCACUUUUUCAAAGUGCUCUGACAGAGUUAAAACAUGUGAAACUGGCAGCUCCCACUACCGUGCUAUGACCAAGCAGGGUAAAGGAAUAGCAUUACUACUUGUUGUUAGGGAGACUCCUAUAUAUGUCGACCUCCAUCCCCAACGGACAGGCAGACCUGCAAAAAUGCUCAACCCUUCAUCAUAUCUGAGAGGGCACUCCCAACGAAAGCCUUUCGAAAUAUUCAGCUUUCUUUCCCCCCGAUAAUACCUCUGCAAACAAGCUAUACUAGAGCAAGAAUAUCUCAUAUCAUCAUCAGGGUUAAAAGCAAGAGUAUCCCAUAUCAUGCUUUUUCCCUGUUUUUUUCUUUUGGCCUUGUUUUUACCUGCAAGACAAGGAGAAAGAGAGCAAUCAGUCAGCACUUGGAAUCAAGCUUCCAGCCAGGAACUGACUGCCUGGAACCCCUUACCUGAUUACUUACCUGGCAUUGCUCUCGAGUACUCAUCUUCAACAUCUUAUGUUUCCAGGGAAGAUUCCGCAUCUGCUUGAGGAACAGAUAGGGCAAGUGCGAAGGAUACAAGGAAGCAUGUGGAGACAAGCGUAACAGCACACGUGCCGAUACAUCCAUUACUCUGUCAAAAGCAAAAGUAUCCCAUAUCAGCAGGGUGGAACGUACUCUAGAUUUGAUGGACUUGUUUUGACCCUCAAAUUCUUCAGUCGGCCUUAUACUCUGGAGGAAACCAGAAAACCCUCCAGCUCAGUUCAAGAAUAAGCCUGUGGAAAGUUACUUCUUCAAAAGCAAAAGUAUCUCAUAUCAUCUCUUCUCAUUUUUCUUCUCUUUAUCCUUCAUGCUGCUGCAAGAUGGGGAGAAGGUGAACAAUCAGUCGGAGCUCUGAUUGCUUACCUUGUCUGUCACCUCUUUCAGCAGACCCCCUAGCUCGGCGACUUGGGGGACUCCUACUACAUGGUUUGUAUCGCGCUUGACCAAGCCUGAAACUACAAGUAAGCUUCAAGUGAAAUUGAUACAUUACCUUGUGCAUCUCCACCAGUUAAAGAUACCACCCCUGGAUGGAGGAAGAGUACUUCCAGAGAAGAUGCCACAUCUACCUAUGAGACAGAUAAGGCAAGUCAAGACGACACCACACUCCGAUACUUAGAAGUUUCGUGAUUACGAGAUCAUUCUCCCACAAUAUUUUCCUAAUGUCAUUUGUACUAAAUCAUUCACUUGUACUCACUAAAGGAGAGCUUGAACCUAUGUACUUGUGUAAACCCUUCACAAUUAAUGAGAACUCUUCUAUUCCGUGGACGUAGCCAAUCUGGGUGAACCACGUACAUCUUGUGUUUGCUUUCCUAUCUCUAUCCAUUUAUAUACUUAUCCACACUAAUGACCGGAGCAAUCUAGCGAAGAUCACAAAAAGCGACCGUUUUCGUUACCUAUGAUCUAUCUUGUAAGAGAACGGAGAAUUAGAUGGAGAUCUCAACCAUAGAAUACGAGCUGGAUGGAAAAGAAGAGUGCAUCCGGCGUGUUGUGUGACCGUCGUAGGCCACUGAAGCUCAAGGGAAAAUUUUUAUAGGACGGCAAUAAGGCCAGCGAUGUUGUAUGGCAGAGAAUGUUGGGUGGUGAAGCAUCAACACGUACACAAAAUGGGUGUAGCGGAGAUGAGGAUGCUUCGUGGGAUGUGUGGGCACACGAGAAAGGAUAAGAUUGGGAAUGAGGAUAUCCGAGGUACAGUAGGAGUAGCCGAAAUUGUAGGAAAGAUGAGAGAAAAUCGGCUCUGGUGAUUUGGACAUGUGCAAAGAAGGCCGACUGACGCUCCGGUUCGAAGAUGUGACUACGGGACAGAGGUUCAGGGCCGAAGGGGUAGAGGAAGACCUAGGAAAACUUUGGAAGAGACUCUAAGAAAAGACUUAGAGUACUUGGAUCUAACGGAGGAUAUGACACAAAACCGAGCGCAAUGGCGUUCUAGGAUUCAUAUAGCCGACCCCACUUAGUGGGAAAAGGCUUUGUUGUUGUUGUUGUUGUUGUUCUCUACCUUUGAACUAUUGAUGCAUGUAUCAAGACUGUUCAGACAGCCGACCCCGCUUAGUAGGAUAAAACUUGGUGGUGGUUGUUUGUUUCCUUUUUUUUUUCCUUGAAUGAAUUGUUGCCUUGUGUCAGUGUAGAUCAAUGACACUAAAAGCAUAAUUGGGUUGUUACCCUAAAUUGUAAUUGUUGGUCUACUGCCUUCCGAAGCAAGCUCGGACUUAAUUAGAGUACUUGGAAAGUUUAGGCUGCCUAGUAAUAUUCUGUUGAGAUUAGUUUCUUCUUAUGGGUGUGGGUAACUAUGAUCCAGUUGACCUGUUUAGUGUUUACCUAAGGUCAAGCAUACGUGUGUAGUUGAUUUAUUGUGGUUCGAUCUGUGUCUUCUCUGGUUAACCCGUUUAUGUAUGUCCUGAAAUAUUACAAAUGUACCAUGAUAUGUGUGUCAUUGAUUAGUCAUAUGUUGAUCUUAGUUUCUAUUGCUAGGUUGUUGGUGGUUGCAAAUGCUGGAGAUUGUCGAGCAGUGCUGUGCCGCCGUGGAAAAGCAAUUGAAAUGUCAAGAGAUCACAAACCAAUUUGCAGCAAAGAGAAACAACGGAUCGAGGCAUCUGGAGGACAUGUGUAUGAUGGUUAC